GUUGGGUAGAAAUUGGUAAGGUAUUUUGUAAGCUAAAGCCGACUAAAAUGAUCCUACAUAAGCCCAAUGUUGGAGGCUUGGAGACUUUGAUUCGCGUACUAGACCAUAUCUAGUAAGAUUCCACCUUUAAACUCUUUUUUUCUUUUGAGAAAACCUACACUUUUCAAAUGCACGUUUUUUGUAAGCAAUUUGAAGUGUGCAACCAGAGAUGGC
Molecule: long non-coding RNA, 213 nt
Filed under: Elaeis guineensis (African oil palm)
Lineage: Eukaryota; Viridiplantae; Streptophyta; Magnoliopsida; Arecales; Arecaceae
Description: long non-coding RNA (EGUI_LNC011896)
Source: RNAcentral